Non-coding RNA from Equus caballus (horse), 10701 nucleotides. The record is from RefSeq and is a predicted model, not a curated record. NCBI's taxonomy places the organism in Eukaryota, Metazoa, Chordata, Mammalia, Perissodactyla, Equidae.
AGGGAGAGAGGAAGGAAGGAAGGAAGGAAGGGAAAAUUGGUCCUAAACCUUAGAGUUAACCCGGAACAUUUGAACACGUCAAUCAAAACCACUGCUGUUUUUGAUCAGAGAUGAUAAGAGUCAGGAUAACUAUUCACGUUCAGAAAAAGUUCCAGGGAGUAGUGGUCACUCUGAGGUCAGUUUCCACCAACUGGAGAAGGUAUUUGCCCAAACAAAAGCAUGAGAUUGCAGGUGCAUUACUGGCUGUAGAUUCCAGAACAGAGGUCAGAGAAGUCUUCUCUGGUCCUAGAGAUGGCUGGACAGACCAAGUCUGGGCCACUGAUGACCUAAGAUAUGGGCAGAGAUUGGGGCUUAAGACAGGCUGAUCACUCAGCAAUGCUCCUAUAGGUAUGGAGAUGCAUAACCUGCGAAGAGAUGGCUGCUCAGAUAGGACACAGUAGAAAACUCUUCUAGCAAGCUAGAGUUGGUCUGAAAUUGGAAUUGGCUGCCUCAGAAGACAGUGAGAUAUUCAUGCAUCAUUUUCCAACAGAUGCUUCAUGACAAUUGGCAAAGCAUAAUCUGGUCCCUGCCUGCUUCUGCAGCCUUCUCAUUUCUUCUUGCAUGUACUCUAGUCUCAGCUCCAGACUAGCUGAAAUGUGGCAGCUUCCUGAAUGGACCACAUUCCCUCUCACCUCCCCACCUUUGCAGAAGCUUCCCCUAAAUUCCCAGCACUUGUUUUCUUAUGACUAGUCUCCGUUCAUCCUUUAUCCAUAGCUUAACCUAACACUCCUCUGGAAAAUCUCUCUGGCAGUCCACCCCAGAAAGACUAGCUGUCCCUCUCUCUGUCUUUCCACAGCGUCAUCUACUUCUCCACUUAAAAUGAUAGCUACCACGUAGCAAGUGUGUUUGCUAAAUGAAUAACAGGAUGAUUUGGUACGUGCCAGGCACUAUGUUAAAUAUUUUAAAAUAUUUAAUGUCAUUUAAUCCUAGAAGAGCCUUAUGCGUUCAGUGCUAUUAUCAUCCCAUUUAACAGAGAAGAAAUUGAUGUUUAAAGAGGUUAAGUCAUUACCUAAGGAUUCACAGGUUCCAGAAGCAAGAAUCAAAUACUGACUAGUUUGAUUGCCAAAUCCACGCCCUUUAAUCCACCCAUGCUGCCAAAUUCAUUCCUUUUGUGUGGAUGUGGCUACUGAGGAGGAUCUAAUGAGACAAGCUGAUCUGACUCCCUCUAACAUGCCUUGGGAUGAUUUUGUGGUACUUGGGGGCUCAGGGGUCUGAGGGAGCUGCAGUCAUAUCCCAGCUCUUCCCUAAUUAGCUGGGUGUCAACGAGCAGCACACUUCAUCUCUGAGUCCCAGUUUCCUCUUCAGCAAAUUGGUGAAAUAAUGACUAUCUUCGCAGACGUCAGGAGGACAAAAUGAGAAGCUGUAUAGAAGAUGCACGACGUUUGCUGUGAAAAAAGAUGCUGUGAAAGAGCAGGGGUCUCCCUUUCCCUAAAGGAAGCAAUUUAUCUCUGCUACCUUGUGCCAGUUAAACUGCACGGGCUCAAUAACUUAUGUUUUGGUCCGAUCUUUUUAAUUUUUCUAAAGCGGAAUCCAAGUUUUUGUUGGCAAGUGAUUGAACACACUGGGGCCCAGCCUCCGGGCCCACAGUCCAUUAGGGAAUUUACGAGGGAGAUCAGAACCUUCAACUCAAGUACUCCCUUCAGAGGCAGUACUUACAAAGCCAUCAAUUUCCUUAACAAAGAGCAUUGGCUUAAAUGCCCCUUAAAGCAGUGUUAUUUACACAGCUACCCACUUCCUUUUGAAUUCUCUGGCUGGGGGGUGGCCUACCUGCAGUCCUUUCCAGCUACUAGUUAAUUAGGCUCCCUCCCUGAAAGGUCUUGGUUUUGAAAAGCAGCUUGAUUUUGGAUUAUCGGAGAGUUCUAGUGGGUGAUCUAAGAAACCACCAAAAUCACUGGUUCUAUCCAUCCCUUCUUCUAAAAUCCUAAAACAUUUGGAGGUUGUCAAAGAGUUAUGACCAUGGUCACUAUUGAGAUAUAGAAUAAGAAUUACAUUGGAACCCGUCUCUCCUUUACACAAAGCUCAAAGAAAAAUCAAGAACAUAUCAAUAUAGUAAUACUGCCAUUUUCUAGAUGAGGAAACUAAAGGGGUCCUCACUCCUUUUGUGGCAGAACUAGGGUUUCAACACAAGCCUCUGAGCUCCGGAAUCUGGGCAGGAAACUAGCCCUCUGAGCUGCUGGAACUGAGAUAUACUGCCCCCAACAACAGCUAGAAAGUGGAAAGCCUGCUAUUUGAACUGAAGUUUGUCUGACUCUAAAGAGCAACAAGCUCUACAACAAUUUGUUGCCUGAAAAAUAAAACUGUCUCGAGAAACAUAUUCUUCCUUUACUCAUUUAUUCUAUAUUUACCGAGCCGCAAAUUAUUUGCCAGGUCCUGGACGGAAUCCUGGGAAGUCAGAGGAAUUCAACCUGGUCUCAGCACUCUAGGAGCUCGGUCUAGUGAGAAGGGCAAGCAAAUAAAUUACUGAUUGCACAGGAUUUUGUUCUGAGGUAUGAGAUGCUGCAGGAGCACAGAAGAGGGACCCCCAAACUUCAAUCUUACCCAAACUUGGGAAGGUUUCCCUUAGGAGAUAAUACCUGGGCUGAAUCUCUGAGAGGAGGAAGAGGUGAUGGGAAGACAUUCCAGGCAGGUGGACUCUGAGCAAAUGAAGGGAAGCUGGAAACAGUGUGGAGGUGCAAAGCAACAUGUUGGAGCACAAAGUGCAAAUGACUGGAUCGGACUACACUGGCCUUGAAUGCCAUAGUAAGGAAUUCAAAUUUGUCUCAAGGGCAUUGCUGAGCCACUUGAUGCUUUCAAAUGGAGAGUGACAAAAUGAUAUUUGCAUUUUAGGAAGCUUGCUCUCACUAUACUGGAGGAUAGAUGGAGGCAAGGAAAGACGGAGAACCAGGAGCCUGUUAGAGUUCUCUUGCAAUAACCCUGGCAGGAGCUGAAGUGGGGAUGGGGGACGGAACUCAGGGAGAGCGAUGAAGGUAGGGAGAGAGAGGAGGGACUGAGGGCGAAAAAGUUUUCAAAGUAAAAUGGGCAGAAUAGCAAUUAUUUGAUUGUGGGAAAUGACAGAGAGGGAAGAGUUAAGGAUGUUUCCAUUUCCAGUUUAAAUGUCUGGUUGGCUAGUGGCGCCACCAGUUGAGACUAAGAAAAACAGGAGUUGCAGUAGGUCUGGAAGGAAAAAUGGUAAGCCUUGUAUUCACUGUGUUGAGUUUGAGCGCCUGUGGGUCAUCCAAUAAAGUAAUUAGAAAUACACGUCCAUAGGUCAAGAGACAGUCCCCAGACUGAAGAUAGAGAUUUGGGAGGCUUCAGUUUUGAAUGAUGGGCUCAGGAAGAGUGGGAAGUGGGCCCAUCAUGGAAUUUGGAGUGUGCUAAUAUUUAAAGGAUGGGCAGAAGAAGGUCUGUGUAGGGAUGGCCAGAGAGGUUAAGGAAACUUGGAAGAGGGUAACACUUCAGAAGCCCCAGGAGUUCAGAACUUCAAGGUGAGGGAGAAAUAUACUGAAAUCUGUCUAUCUCAUCACGCUACAUAAUAGAGUCCCGUUCAUCCUUUCGCUGAGUAAUGAUUCUCAAUCUUCUGCCUGAUCUCUGCCAGGGACAGUGUGUGCUCUCCUUGUAAGGAGUAGAUUCUUAUUUUUAAUAACUCUAAUAAUCAAUAUUUAUUGAUCACUUUCUGAAGAACAGGAACUGCUCUAAGCACAGCAGAGCUGGCACCCUCAGUGCCUAGCAUGGACGUGACAUGUGAAAGGUUCUCCGUAAAUAUGCGAUGAAUAAAUUCAUAAAUGAAUGAAAGAAUACAUUAUAGUACCCUACGAAGUAAAGAACAUCACUCCCAUUUCACAGAUGGAAAAAGAAAGGGAGACCAAGCCUGGAGCAGAGAAGUGGUCCCCUGUGCUUCUGGGUCAGGUCAAUUGCCUUCUCCUCUCAUGCUCCCUGGUUGGGCGUUCUCUUGGCAAAAGGCACGAAAACAAAUGGAAAGUUGAUGGGUUGAAGACACUCACGCAGACCUCUCGUCAGUAAUGAGGCUGAACUCAAGCUAUACGAGUGGUUUUGGACUUCUGAACUGAGGGACCAGCUCCAGCCGGGAGCUUUCACAGUCCUGCCAACAGUGGCGGUUAAAAGUUUAGUUCAAUCUUAUGGAUAAUUUGAGCUGGGUUUCUGACUGGCAUUGAAAGCCAAAAUCACUCUUAUUUCUCUUCAGGUCAGUUUGCCAAGAGUAUUUUAUUGGCCCUUGAAGAGCAUCCCACGGUGGGGAAGGUUGAUCUGAAAACACUGCUCCCAGCGUGGCAUGCUCCUGCCCAGAAACCACUACUCACUACAGGAUCACACCUCCCACCCACCCAUCUUGCGGCUACCCUGAGUCGCUUUCUUUGGGACUAAUCUACGCACGGUACCCCCAAAAGAACCCUCAAUCUGGACCUUUAUAGUGGCAGAGCUAUGCGAGUGACCCUACUAAGCCCGGCUGUCCGGGAAGCUUUCACGGAUUUACGAGCUCCCCCACCAGGGCCUGACUCCUCUUGGGGUCCCCUCACAGCAAUCCUUACGUAUGCUUAAUGACCCCUGUCCUCUGAAGUCCUCCAGUGAAGGACUUCUGCUGCUGCUGCUUGUCACUCCCGUCUGCACCCUGCCUAGCACAGAGCUUUGUAUGCAGCAAGUGCUUAAUACAUAUAGACAAAAACUAGUGUGAGAUUGGUCACAUUAGCUUCCAGCUGUCUUUGGAGGACCCCCGUGGCUGCUGUCUGGAAGACAGAGAAGGCAACCUUAGUGCCUGUAAGCUGGGCUGCAGACACUGGGAGCUGGGAGUAUAUUAUCUUUCUGUCUGGCAAAUUAAAAAAUGGAAAAUGCAGUCCCUUCAAAAUUACUGUAAUUUCAAAUUUGCUUUAUCUUAAUUUUUUCUUGUUACUUAAUCAGUGGCAGCAAAGAAAAAGUCGCUUUUCGUUUCUCCCUCUGUUAAGUAGUUAAUGAUCUGUAAACAAACACUUCAGACAGUGUUUCUUAAAGAGACCCCAGGAUCUUUUUGUGAUGGGAAGAUUCCUUUUGCACUGGGCAUUGUUUCCCCUUCUCAUUAUCUGUUUGCAAGUAGGCUGUUCAGCUCUUCAGAGUACACAUUUUUUUCAUUAGAUAAGCUUAAUGAUCAAGAGGUAGCAUAAAUUAGUAGUUUAGCCUGAGGGCUUAAGAGCCAGACUUCCAGGGCAGGAAUCCCUUACUGGGAACCCUGAGUAAAUGACUUAACAUCUCUGGGCUUUUCCCUUAUCUAUAAAGCAGGCAUAAUUUUAAAACUACUUCAUAGGGUGAGCACAAUUAAUCAAAGGAGGUAAUAGAGAAAGCAUUAAAUUAAUUAAAUCAAUACCGAGCUAUUUCUACUAUUACGACUAUUGUCUGGGAUGAUGCGAUGGAAGACACCUUGUUCUGAAGGUCUGGUAUUUUGGAGAAGGACUCCAGCUCUGCUAGUUGGAGUUGAGCAGAUCUUGGUUCAAAUCCCAGCUCUGCCACGUAAGAAUCACCUGCUUCGAACAAGUCACUUUAUCUCCCUGAGCCUCAGUUUCUCAUUGUAUAAAAUGGGAGUAACGGCCCUGCCUUCCUGCAGCCUCCUGAAGAUCAAGAGGGAGCUGAGUGCCUUGCGUGUGUGUGUGGCAGCCAGCCGGCAUGGGAUGCGGCAUUCACGAAGGGCCUGUCUUCAAAUCAAGGGAAGCUUUAUUUCCAGGAGGUAUUUUGGUGAAAGUUCCCAUGUUUUCCGCAGAGGAAGGUCUGAAGGCAUACAUGCAGCCGGGAGAAGUUUUAUUUUGCUUUUUUAAUUUUAAUUUUUUGGUAAGGUGAGAGGUGGAUCGUCUAUUAUGAUUUCGCAUUGUUAAAAAGAAAAAUAAUAAUACAUGCAACUCCCAGCAGAGCCCAGUCUUCCUCUCCCUUCCAGUCCCCCUCCCCCCACCAGAUGCUGUUUUCCUUUUCAGUCACUGUUGUUUUAAAGUCUCAUCAGAACAUCCACCAAGAAGUCAUGGCGAUUCAUCUUCUUGUUUUCCUUUCUCGCCUGGGCUUGGAGCAGGCCAGGGCGGCCUGACAGAGGGACCACAAGGCUUGGUGACCCCCACCCCUCCCAGUGACUGGUGGGGAGGCAGAUUGAUCCCCCCUCCUUCCCCUUAUCUGGCUCACAGAUAAUUGAGUUAUUGGCCCUGGCUCUAGGACCGGGCUGGAGAUGCUGCGUCAGGGACUAGAGACAAAGUGAUGUUAAUGACAGGGGAUGGGGGAGAGGAGAGGAGUGAGGAGGGAGGGAGAAAAUGAGACACACAGAGUGUGUGUCUGUCUGGGAAAGACAACGUGGGGGUCCGUUGGCUUUGUUUUCCUAACUACAUAUCAGCAGCCAGCAGGAUUUGAAACCCCAAAGCCUUUAAAUGAAUGUUUGACAAAUCAAGGAUUCUUCAGCAUCAGACAGAGAAAGAAGCUGGAGAGCCCUCAGCCCAAUCCCUCUCAUUUCACAAGGGGAGAACCUGAGGUUCCGAGAUGCUAAGCUGCAGCCCAGGCUCUCAAGUCUAAACUGAGACCUGGACCCAGCUAUCCUGAAGGACACAAGGUGGUUAAUCAAAACAGAGCAUGAGGAGUCAUCCACAAUCACUUCUCCUGGAAUGGAUUAAAUGUCAUCUCAGAAGGUAGCAGAUUUCCAGCACCAGCUCAAGAUAUAUUACUAAGUAUAACCCCUUUUGGGGAUGCUUCACAUUUUGUCUGACUAAUUUGACCAUUACCUUCCCUCCUUCAGCUUUUAUCAGCAGCCUGUCUGUAGUUUAUGACUCAGUGCUUUAGAAACAGAAUUCCCAACGCUGCCGAACAAUGCCUCCAGCCAGUGCCUGUUGGGGGAGUUAUCAUUUUACUGAUACCACAUUUUUUCACUGAAACCUCAGGCCUGGUGUAUGUUAUAUUUUAAAAAGGGGGGAAAGGACAAGAUAAUUUCCACAUUGCCAGGGAUGUAGCUUGCAUUGCCUAAGAGAUCUUGUGGGCGGUGUUCCUUUUAACAAGUAACUUAUUAUGUACUGGGGGAUGAGGACGCUGCGGGCAGGAAAGUGGGAAAGGGAAGUCCCAGGGUGUUGCAUAAUAAUACAGUGGCACCUUGGGAAUACUUCCGGAUGUGUGGGCUUCUGAAAAGUGAAUGGGAAUGCCACCAUAAAUCUGUCACCUACCCUCACACUGGUGUUACCAAAGCCAGGGAAAACAUUAGCCCUAUUAAAUGUUUGGUGACAAAAAAUAAAAGAGAAGAAAGAAAUGAAAGAAGGAAGGAGGGAAGGGAAGAAGGAAAGAAGAAAGGAGGAAGGAAGGAGAGAAGGAAGGAAGGAAAGAAGUGAAGUGGGAAGGUAAGGAAGGAGGGAGGGAGGAAGGAACUCAUUCAGAUGAAGGCAGAAUGAAAGAGUAGAAAAAGCAAGGGAUCUCUACUCCAUCUGGAGAUGGGAUCACACCUCUACGAGCUAUUUGACCUUGGGCAAGUUAAGACAUCACAGCUCCCUCAUCUGGAUAUAAGAGACCUCACAUAGGCUCACAUUAAACAAAGGUGGAUGACACAGGGUGUACCACCUAAUGGGUAUCCAUAAAUAGUGCUUGUUGCUGAUACCCCUCAACAUACACACAUACCCACACCCCCCACACACAAAAACACAGAGAAAAGUAAUAGUUAAUGUGCAUCAAGCACAUCCAACUUGCUAUGAAUGGGGCUAAACCUCAUAGUAUCUUAUGACAACAAUUUUCAGUCAAGGUUCUAAGUGACAAUCAACAGAAACCAACUCUGGCUAACUUAAGUAAAACAAGCAAACAAACAAAAUCUAUUCAAAGAAUAUUGGCUACUUAAGGAAUACUCCUUGGGAGGGCUGGAGAGUCAGGCUUGCUUGCUCUGAAGCCCAAUUCCAAGCUCAAAUUAGGUCCCAGGGCUCGUCUUGUGAAGACACCUCAGAGCUUUGCUACACGUGGUCACUUCAGCACUAAUGUUACAUGCUGUCACUGGUACUUUGGAAACGCAUGGGUUGUGGCCACUCCCACCAUCCUUAUCAAAAUGGUUUCUGCAGGUCUCUAUGUCUUAUCACGACUAGUUUCUGAUUCAGUAUCUUGGGUGGGGGAGAGGGUAGGUCUUGUGCCCACACUCAAGCUAUAAGGGGGACUGGGAGAAGACUUUUGGAUUUUCAACGUCCAUAAUAGGUGUUGGGAUCUGCCUCAUGAUAAUUAUAACAAGGAGAGUUAUUUCUAGGAAAGGGGAUUCACAUAGUAAAUAUCAAAAAAUAUUGGUAAAUAUCUUUCACAGUUGAGUCCCAGACUUUCACCAUUUUUGGAUGAGAACACUGAAGCUUAGCCUAGGCCACAUGUCUAAGCCACAGCGUGAACCCAUCAGUCUCACUCAAGCCUGUUCUCUUGGCCACUAUCUUGACCACUGUCUUGACAAAAGUAAUGAUGAGAACAACGUCCACCUCAGCAAAGCCUACCACACUCCAGUCCCAUUUCUCUGACUCAUUAAAGCUGGAUCUGUUGGGAGCCAAAGAUUCACUGUGUUUUCUUCACCUAUUCUUCUUAGAGGAAGGUGGUUUUCUAGACUCAAAGCCAUGGAGUUUGUCCUCGGGAUGUAGUUCCUGGGAGGUGGGAUCUCUGGAUAGACUCCUUAAUGCCCGAAAUGCCCUGUGUCUCUAAUGGAAUUCUAAAUGGCAAGGGUGGAGGGCAUAGCUGAGGUCCUUCCUCUAACACAAAACACACUCAAUAUGCAGGGGUAAUAGAGAGCCUUCCCUGGACACCAUCCACACCACUGACAGUUUUGUAUUUCAGUCCAUUAAUUUAUUACAUGAAUUAUUCGACAGCUGUAUGUUCCUUGUUCAGCACCAAAGCUCCACUAGAGCAAGAGGAGUCUUUUUUUGCAGGUAGCUGACCACAGUGAGUUCUGGGGUCAGGCUCUCUGGGCUUGAGUUCCAGUUCUACCACUUAACUGCAUAUCUUUAUUUCACCUGCCCAUGCCUCAGCUUCCUCUUUUGUAAAAGCAGGACAAUAAAAGAGGUGUUAUGAGAAGGAGAGUUUAUAAAUGUGGUUGGUAUAUAACAGAUGUUCAGUAAAUAUCACCAUCAGCUGCAGAAUACUUACAACCUAUUAGAAAAUGACGGUAUAUAAAAUGGAUCCACGAGGGUCCAAGUCUCAUCCUAUUGGUAACUUCCUCGUCUUCUCUCCUUUCUUCUUAUGCAUCUCAGUUAACACAGCUUGAAAAUCACUGACCUCCUUCAAAAUGGUUGUUUUGGCCAAAAUACAAAGGGGAAGUGAGGCUCAAAAAGGCAACAUAAGCUACGGCUAUUUCUAACAUACUCUCCCAAACCUACCACUGUUUGCUUAAAAUUCAGUUCUUUUUCUAAGAAAGGGUGAACCAUCUUUUAAUUUUCACCUCCUUUCUGCACCAGGGUCCAAUAGCCAAGAGUAUCAAAGACUCCAAAUUCUUGGACCAGGGGUCAGCAAACGGUGUCUGUAAAGGGCCAGAUAGUAAAUAUUUUAGGCUCUUUGGGCCAUAGGGUCUUUGUUGCAACCACUCAACUCCACUGUUGUAGCAGGAGAGCAGCCACAGACAAUAUGUGAGGAAUGGGUGUGCUGUAUUUCGGUAAGACUUUAUUUACGAACAUAAUUCUGGCCCAGGGACUCUAGUUUGCAGACUCCUUCCAUGGACCAUGAGCUUCUACAUGUAAGGGGCUCCCUUGUUUUUGUUUAUUGCUACAUGAGAUGCUAAAGCAAACAGAACAUGGAUGUCAGGGCCCAAGCAUCUCUUUUAGGGUACCAUAUCCUACCUUCACCACAUCCUACCUUCUUCCCAGAAGCACUUAAGUUACAUGCCACCCUAGUGUGAAUGAAAUAGGUAGAUAUUUUCCAGCAUGAUCUGAGAGUAAUAUUGAGUGUCACGAGGGUACAAAGGCGAGGGUUUAGUUCAAGUAGAGCUCAGGAUUACGAGGAAUAGUCACACAUCUUACAAAUCACACAACAGAAGUGCAAGUAAGUUUCUUAAGAACCACUUAACCUAAUCUUUUCUAUUUAUAGGAUGGAAACUGAGGCCCAGAGCAGGGAAAUGACUUGGCCAGUUUUAUGCAGCAAGUUCUCAGCACAGCAAAGCCCAAAGAAAUGCCAGACUUACCGAUGCAAUUGAAGGAAACUUCCUGUCUGCAGAAAAGGGAGCAGCCAUCACCAUUGAUCUUAUUCAUGUCAUCGCAUUCCUCGCCUUGGCUUCUGCAGAACCGACAGAGAAGAGAAAUUGGUCACAUCAGCUUCAGAACCACAGCCGGACACAGAAAAGUUUCUUCCCUGGGCCAUGAACUAUCCAUGAGCCCUGGGGCAAGUCUCUUUCCCAGUUGGAGUCUCUGUUUCUUCAUCUUCAAAAUGAGAUGCAUAAAAGGUAUAAAUUUGUAGGAUGCGAUUGCAUUUGUCUUAUUUUGUGUUUCCCAGGACGAAGUAGAAUUCCUGCUUCCAACUCAUUCUCUGAGAUCUUGUCAGUUAUGUUGGUUAAGUCAGAUGAGAGCAAGAAAUGGAUGAACAGACCUUGCUCCUUUGUGUGUGGCAAUUCUCAUUGCAUUUUAAAAUGGUAGAUUUGAAGGAAAACUUGGAGUUUCUAAAUAUAUAAAUGCUGUUUUUCACGAAGCCCUGCCUCAAGUCCCUCCCAACUCCCCCAAUGCACCUAAAAGUAAAGAUAUUUUUUAUUCA